This 667-nucleotide ribosomal RNA is filed under the name uncultured bacterium. Its description in RNAcentral is "bacterial SSU rRNA". It matches the Rfam family "Bacterial small subunit ribosomal RNA", at positions 93 to 740 of the family's 1533-position model. The record is from RNAcentral.
GAGUGGCGGACGGGUGAGUAACACGUGGGUAACCUGCCCGGAAGUGGGGAUUACCUCGGGGAAACUCGAGCUAAUACCGCAUGACAUCUUUGGGACGAGAGUCCUGACGAUCAAAGCGGGGUCGCAAGAUCUCGCGCUACCGGAUGGGCCCGCGCCCGAUUAGCUAGUUGGCGAGGUAACGGCUCACCAAGGCUUCGAUCGGUAACCGGCCUGAGAGGGCGAUCGGUCACACCGGAACUGAGACACGGUCCGGACUCCUACGGGAGGCAGCAGUGGGGAAUCUUGCGCAAUGGGCGAAAGCCUGACGCAGCAACGCCGCGUGGAGGAUGAAGGCCCUUGGGUUGUAAACUCCUGUCGGCUGGGAAGAAAUCUUGCGGGGCUCAUACCUCCGCAAGUUGACUGUACCAGCAAAGGAAGCCCCGGCUAACUCUGUGCCAGCAGCCGCGGUAAUACAGAGGGGGCUAGCGUUAUUCGGAAUUAUUGGGCGUAAAGGGCGCGUAGGCGGCCCUGCGUGUCUUCCGUGAAAUCCCUCGGCUUAACUGAGGACGUGCGGAAGAAACUGCAGGGCUCGAGUCCGGGAGAGGGGGGUGGAAUUCCCAGUGUAGCGGUGAAAUGCGUAGAUAUUGGGAGGAACACCGGUGGCGAAGGCGGCCCCCUGGACCGGUUC